CGUGAAAUUGUUGAAAGGGAAACGUUUGACACCAGCUAUGCAGGCGGAAAAUCAGUCAACUGCAGUGAGGGGUUGUGUGGGCCUGGACCGCAAGGCCGGCCUUUAUCUCAUCUUUGCUGUGGGUGAUGCACUUUUUCGUCCGCAGGUCAACAUCAGUUUCGCCCGCUGGACAAAACUCCGAGGGAAGGUAGCAGCUUAGGCUGUGUUAUAGUUAUGGAGCGUUACAGAGGGGGGGACUGAGGAUUCGCAG
Molecule: ribosomal RNA, 250 nt
Filed under: Mortierellaceae sp.
Lineage: Eukaryota; Fungi; Mortierellomycota; Mortierellomycetes; Mortierellales; Mortierellaceae
Description: partial large subunit ribosomal RNA
Source: RNAcentral